UGGCUUGUGCAAAAUUUUCCCAAUCACAUGACGGGCGGCGGUAUUGAAUUUGGAGAGGUGAAGGGCAAACAGAAGAUUUACUCAACCACUUUCGCUUCAAUUGCUCUCCCUUUUCCCAUGCAUAUUGUUUUUCUUCUUCUAUAAACCCUACCUUUCGGCUUUUCUAUUCCGGAUUCCCUUGGAUGCUACGCACUCUCCUAUUUCGUUGUCCUCAUAAGAGUUAGAGCUACCUGCUAGAUACCUACUCGCCUGUUUGUGUGAGACUCGCUGCCUCGGAAUGCUAUGCGAAGGGGAGUUGUUCCAAACCUUGCUCACCUUCAAACCAUGCAUCAAAUCAAUAAGUAAAGACCACAC
Molecule: long non-coding RNA, 354 nt
Organism: Solanum pennellii
Lineage: Eukaryota; Viridiplantae; Streptophyta; Magnoliopsida; Solanales; Solanaceae
Exons: 3
Source: RefSeq, a predicted model, not a curated record